GCUGGGUGUGAUGGUGCACGCCUGUAAUCCCAGCUACUUGGGAGGCUGAGGCAGGAGAAUCGCUUGAGCCCAGGAGGUGGAGGUUGCAGUGAACUGAGAUUGUGCCACUGCACUUCAGCCUGGGCGACAGAGUGAGACUCUGUCUCAA
Unclassified non-coding RNA from Callithrix jacchus (white-tufted-ear marmoset), 148 nucleotides. It matches the Rfam family "Metazoan signal recognition particle RNA". From Rfam's summary of the family: The signal recognition particle (SRP) is a universally conserved ribonucleoprotein. It is involved in the co-translational targeting of proteins to membranes. The eukaryotic SRP consists of a 300-nucleotide 7S RNA and six proteins: SRPs 72, 68, 54, 19, 14, and 9. NCBI's taxonomy places the organism in Eukaryota, Metazoa, Chordata, Mammalia, Primates, Cebidae. The record is from Ensembl.